GUUGUGAAAACCAAAUGUGCAGUCUGUGUGCGAGAAGUCCGGUCAGACCGCUCCGCCGAUGCCAGUGAUUGCUCCUGGGAGCACGCUUAACUCCAGAAACGCAUCGCACGAUCCUUCUCCAGCUACCGGCGUGAGCCAGCCCACUCCUUCUCCAGCUACCAGCGCGAGCCAGCCCGCUCCUACACCUCCGUGAUCACGGUUUCAUUCACUUCACUGAAGCCAGCUUCCUAUGAUGGAUUGCUUGCUUUUUCCUGUUUUUUCCUUUGAUGCACUUGUAUUCUGCUGGCUUGCUAUGAAGAAACUUUGCAUAUUGUAAUAUGUAUGGAUCGAUGGAACUAUGUGAUGGAUAUAUAUGUGAUGUGAAAUUUUUGAUGGA
Molecule: long non-coding RNA, 376 nt
Organism: Triticum aestivum (bread wheat)
Lineage: Eukaryota; Viridiplantae; Streptophyta; Magnoliopsida; Poales; Poaceae
Exons: 3
Source: RefSeq, a predicted model, not a curated record